RNAcentral lists this ribosomal RNA (465 nucleotides) under uncultured bacterium. RNAcentral describes it as "partial 16S ribosomal RNA". It matches the Rfam family "Bacterial small subunit ribosomal RNA", at positions 338 to 795 of the family's 1533-position model. The record is from RNAcentral.
CCUACGGGAGGCAGCAGUGGGGAAUAUUGCGCAAUGGGCGAAAGCCUGACGCAGCGACGCCGCGUGAGGGAUGAAGGUCUUCGGAUCGUUAACCUCUGUCUGCAGGGAAGAACGGUCACUGUGCUAAUCAGCAGUGAAUUGACGGUACCUGAAAAGGAAGCACAGGCUAACUCCGUGCCAGCAGCCGCGGUAAUAAGGAGGGUGCGAGCGUUAAUCGGAAUUACUGGGCGUAAAGCGCUCGUGGGCGGGAUGUCAAGUCAAGGGUGAAAUCCCCGCGCUCAACGUGGGCACUGCCUUUGAAACUGGCAAACUGGAGUGUGUGAGAGGAAAGUGGAAUUCCAGGUGUAGGAGUGAAAUCCGUAGAUAUCUGGAGGAACAUCAGUGGCGAAGGCGACUAUCUGGCACAUAACUGACGCUGAGGAGCGAAAGCGUGGGUAGCAAACAGGAUUAGAUACCCUAGUAGUC